Long non-coding RNA from Microplitis mediator, 1049 nucleotides. RefSeq lists it as uncharacterized. The record is from RefSeq and is a predicted model, not a curated record. Lineage: Eukaryota; Metazoa; Arthropoda; Insecta; Hymenoptera; Braconidae. The transcript has 3 exons.
UUUUGUGUAUGUAAAAUAUAUGAAAAAAAAUUAGCAUGUCUUUACACAUAAAUAAUAUAUUUUUCCGAGUUACUUCCUGACAGUGGUUUCUUUGUGGCAUUGGAGCAGGCGACCCAGACAAUAGACACUUACCAACGGCGAGUGCGAUAACUUUAUACAGAGUCAGGAUAAGAAAGAAAUAGAAGAGGGAAAAAAUAAUAAUAAUAAUAACAAUAAGAGGAAAAAUAAUAAAAAGAAUAAGAAUAAGAAGGUGCCGAGGAGAAAAGGUGAAGACGAGUGGGAGAGAAUGCAGGGGGAAAAUGUUUUAGGGCGCGAGAACGAGAGGCGUGGAAGAUCACGACUUACCCAUAUAAAAUACAUUGCCCGCACAUUCACGACGGUAAUCAAACCCGUAAAUCCGACAAGUAAUUUUUUUCUUCACGCUUCAGAUCAACACGGAAGUCUGACAUCAAUGAUACGCUUAGUUGGAGGAGACAUAUCUUGAUCUUUCUAAUAUAAUAAUAUGAUCAAUUGAUCUUGAUCAUGAUCGUGAUUAUGAUUAUGAUUAUCAUCAAAAAUCCGCUUGAGGGACAACCGAGCGGUUGUAGCUGUUAGCUGGUUGCUGAUGUGUAUUUGUAAGGCCACAGUGGAUAGAGAAAAAUUUACUUAUAUAUUUAUACUUAUAUAUAUUGCUCGCCGUCAUUUGAUUACCGAUGAUGACCCAAGUAAAGUAGUUUGAAAGCAGUUAACUCUCGCGGAUUCAGCAUUGAAAUUUGCCCGCUGUAUGCAGUCAGCGUUAUUCCGAGCUCUUCAAUGUGGGCGGAGUAAUGCACGAGCAGUUAUCGAAGCUUGCCAAUAAAUCUACGCCUUAACUAGAAUUCGCCUCGAGUUACGAUCAAGAAGAGAAUAAGAGUAAGAUCCCGCUUCUGUAAUUACUAUCUUCGGAGCAUUCUUCGAUGUACUCCAGUUCGAGUUAACAUCCAGAUCGAUAGAUCCUUCACAACCUCGUCAUCCGGCGUGAUAACAAUGUUACCGUCAAUAUAAAUAUACAUUAAAUAAACAAGUAAAAA